GAAUUCCAAAACUAUCCAUUGACACAUGUAACAACUAAAAUGAUACGACAUUCUCACAUAAUUGUUUUAUCUAGAUGACUGCCUUAAUUACCAACAGCACUGAAAUCUGCCCAAAAUGUGUUGGAAAAAGAAAAAUCCAUUUCCCCAAAUGAAAAUAUCUCUUUUAUGGCAGACAAGCCAGCUGUGCUCAUGAAAACAAGUCAAUAAUUGAGACUGAGAAAUAAAGAAAAAAAUGCUAAGACAUAGAAAGGUACAUUUCCACUAGAACUCUGAUGAAAGGUACGAUUUCUGAGCAAUUCUCCCUAUACUAGUAUAUUUGAAAUUUUGUCUGAACUAUAAAACACUUAAAUAUUCCAACCUAAAAGACUGACACAGCCCACAUGAAUAUACACCCUAUCCAAAAUGUACAAAUAUCUGUUUCUCUUUUUUUAUAGUUACAAUGACAGUUUGUUAUAAAGGAUACAAAUGAAGAGCCAGGUGAAGAGAUACUCAGGGCAGCAAGGUCUGGAGGGGUCCAGGGUACAGAGCUUCUGUGCCCUCUCCAACUGGUCUGUCUGUCUAGCACAUCAAUAGAUUCACCAACCAGGAAGCUCUCCAAGCCUUAUUGCUGAGUUUUUAUCUAGGUUUCAUUUUAUAGGUGUAAUUGCUUAAAUCAUUGGCCAUGUGACUGGGCUCAAUUCUAGCCCCCUUCCUCUCCCCAGAGAUUGGGAGGGUGAAAAUUCCAACCCCCGAAUUACAUGAUUGGUUUUUCUGGCAAACAGCCUUUAUCCUGAAGCCAUCCAGCCCAUCUCCCCGCCCCACAUCCAUGAGCCAUCUUGCUGGCAUAAAUUCAGGUACUGCCUCCAGUGAACCAAUUUAAAUAAGAUUCCCUGGGUAUCGAAGCCGUGAGAACACGGGAAUAUAUUGAGAAGGACAUUUUCCUACUUUGAAAGGAGUCGGUGACCGAAAGGUAUUAGUGAAAUUAAUUCUAUGGUCACUAACAGGCUUCAGAGACAUUGUGUCCACAUUUUCUUGAAGGGACACUGAAGGAGUCUCAGUGUGUAAACAUCCAUCCACGUCCAAAACUGUCUCCGCAUCUGAUGCCACGUGCUUAUGCUGGUGAGGAGACUGUGCCUCCUUGCACAGGGUCAGUCAGGUCAAAACCACCUUUGUGGGCAUUUGCAUCAUGAAAAUGAACAGAGCUGAGGGUCUUCACCGGAACAUACUUUCUUGCAUUUUCCUUUAAGAGAGAAUCAGUAACAGAGCAAUACUAGUGUGGCAUACGUCGCUGUUUGGAGUCUUGUCUUCAAAAUGUUUUCCAGCAUCAAACACAACAAUCUAUGAGAAACCACAUGGUGAGUAAGAGCAGCACACUCACGGCUCUGAAGAGCACAGCACAAGGCUGCAAUAAAGACCCACGUAUGUUCUCAACCUGCAGUGUGCUCAGUGCCUGCACAUCACAACUCAGGUGAUGAAGGGAUGGCAGUUUUACAUGAAUUAAUCAGUUUCCUUCUUAACCCCAUGCCAUUUCCCUCACCUGACCCACCCAAGAAAACACCCUUAAAAGGCUUCUCUCACACUGCUUACACAUAUUAAGCUUCUCGCCAAUUGCCUGCACGUGCUCGGAGAAGCUUGCAAUACCGUUAGUGUGUUAAUACUCACACAGCUGGACCUCAGCAACACAAGGCUUACUAGAAAGCGAAGACAAUAGCAAAGCUGGGCCCAGCAGCCGUUCCCUAAGGAACUCUUCGCCCCUUACACUGGAGCAAUUGAUCUCUCUGCUCCUCAACCAGGAACCGUAGAGCCCUACAGGGCACACAGCCAGUUACUAAGGACUCAGGGCCUGGAAUGAAGUGUAGUAUUUUCCUCCAAGAGCUUGUAUCUGCUAUAAACCAGUUUAAUUCUGCUAUAAACAAGUAGACUUCUAACUAAUAUUAAUAUAAACAAGCACUUUUUUUUCAGAGACAGGGUCUCACUCUGUCACCCAGGCUGGAGU
Molecule: long non-coding RNA, 1975 nt
Filed under: Homo sapiens (human)
Lineage: Eukaryota; Metazoa; Chordata; Mammalia; Primates; Hominidae
Description: HSALNT0331234
Source: RNAcentral